Dermochelys coriacea (leatherback sea turtle) is the source of this 4297-nucleotide long non-coding RNA. RefSeq lists it as uncharacterized. Lineage: Eukaryota; Metazoa; Chordata; Testudines; Dermochelyidae. The transcript has 2 exons. The record is from RefSeq and is a predicted model, not a curated record.
UGGAAUUACCAUAACUUUUCCUAGAGAUACUGCUGCAGCCUUGAUCCUUGGUAUCUCUUAGCAGGUCUCAAACUGUGGGGCGGGACCCCAAAGUAGGUUGCAACCCUGUUUUAAUGGGGUCACCAGGGCUGGCAUCAGACUUGCUGGGGCCUGGGGCCAAAGCCCAAGCCCCACUGCUCAGGCCCAAAGCUGAAGCCAAAACCCAAUAGCUUCAGCCCUGGGCAGCGGGGCUUAGGUUACAGGCACCCUAUCUGGGACUGAAGCCCUGGGGUUUUGGUUUUGCCCCCAUCCCUGCCUGGGGCCCGGGCUUUAGCCCUCCCUUUGGGCGAGCUCAGUUCCCCCUUCCUGGGAUUGUGUAGUAAUUUUUGUUGUCAGAAGGGGGUUGGGGGCAAUGAAGUUGGAGAAACCCUGGUAUAUCUGUAAUGGCAUUUUUUCGGUGCUUGCAACUUAGAUACAAGUGUGUGCCUAUUUAUGCACUUACUCGGGUCAGAUAUUUCCAAUUCCUCUCUGAUUACGUCCUCUUGGAUGGGUACAAUGGGAUUGCUAUCUGUCUCGGAUUUGGAAGACAGGUAUUUGCCUGUAAGCUUGUCAGUGCAGUGUGUGCCUCGCCCAGGUUGGAUCUGGAGUGUGGAUACAACCUGUUUGCACAUGGGGGUGAAACAACCACCUUGUUGCAUUUUUUUAUGCCCUGCUCAGAGCCUGAAUCUGAGGCCAACCUCUCUCAGUGGAGGAGGUACUGUUUGAGGCAGAGGACAAAUCUUAGUUUUGUUUUAAAUGCCGUUGCUUUUCCUUUUAGCUCUUUUUGGAUUUUUUUGCCUUUUUGGUCCGGUUUGCUUGUUGUUGUUGCCCUGCUAUGGUCAGGGCACAGGUUUUUGCAGCUUGCUCUGUAUGGUACCUUGAGCCCCCUGGAUCUCUCUCUCAGGGUCCCUCUCCUACUGCCCAGGGAAUGGGGUUCAUUGCUAGAGUUUACCUAGUUUGAGUUGGGAAGAAUGGGAGCUGAGUACAAGCCCUGCUUCUCUCCCUCCAGGGAAUUUUUAGGGUGUAUGUGUGUGUUGGGGGGGAGGGGAGCUGGAGCCUGAGCCCUUUAGGGGUUUUUUCCUUCUGGUGUUCUGUCCAAGCUGGCUGCUAAAGUCCUCGUCCUUGGAGUCUCUCCCUGGUCUGCUCAGCAACACUGGAUCGUGGUUUUCUGGGUUGGAGUUGCAGCUUCUUGGGGACAGGGUGGGAGUCCAACACAGCCCCACCCCUAGAAGUGCAAGGGUCGGUUGCCUCAGAACAGGCAGGGUAUAAUUUGCCUCCCAAAAAGCCUGUAAAAGCUUCCUCACAAAUAGACCACUGCUUGGAUUUAGCUCGAUGUUUGCACAUCAGUUCUGCCAGGCCUGAAGUGGGGGCUGAGAUCACCAGUCCCGGAGAAGAAAUGGUACACACUACAGCCUGAAAAAAUGGGUAAAGUUGGGAGCAAAUUGAACACUUGACUGCUGCCACAGAGGCAGAAGAUCUGGCAGUAAGCUGCAUAAGGGGGUAUGACUUGAACAGUUUGUGCCACAGCUGUGAGCUGCCUCUGGAAACUGCACCCAGGAGGGCAAUAACCCAUAAUAUAUUGUAAUUGUGGGAGAUGCUGGGCUUCAGAAUGUCAGUGCUGGAAAACUUGAUGCUGAGGACACAGGUAUAGAGAGAGUAUCUCUACUGAGUGCUGGUGCUUAGGAGUGUAUACCAAAGGGACUGUGGUCUGCAGAGCUCGAUGAUACUGGAGUCACACAGUACAGCGUGCGUGUUGCGGUGUUGGAGGGACCCAGUCUGGGUUCUUUACUACUUUUUGACUGUGAAGCCUGAGAUGCAUCCAAGAAAUGGUGACUUGUUUCUUGGUUUCACAAGCACUGAAGAAGGUGACCUAUGCUUAGGCUUGUCUUUGGAACGUCCUCCCCCAGUACAAGGUUGACUGCAUCAAGGAGACCUGUUGUGCCUUUCAAAUCUCAGUAACUGACAACUGAAGUUUCUGGACAAGGAGGCAGCCCAGGAGCUCAGGGCAGAAGCACAUUUCACAGGGGUGCUAACAGUAAUGGACUGCUUGAGAGUUUAUCCUGUGGCCACCCCUCUCUUUUAAGAGUCUGAGGCGAGCUUCGUUGGGCACUCCAAUAGAAAGCUUUAAGUGGGCAUCCCUUGCCUUCUGAGUACACUUCAAGAAGUAGUGUCAGAUAGAACAAUGAUCCAGGAUAUAUUCUUCUCCAAAAUCAAAAAGGCAUCUAGAGUGCCAAUCAUUCAGAGGCAUAGAAAUGACACAUUAGGGACAAGAUUUAAACAUCAGAGAUUUAAGUUCUGCCAUGACGUCUAAGGCCCCUGUAUGGAGAACUGUACUUAAUAUAAUAAAAUUGUUUUGUUGUUUUGCCCACUGGCAAGCUAACUACAACUAAGUAACUACUCUAAUGAGGUGUAAGUGUGGGGAGGAAGGUGGGUAGAGCCCAAGUUCUGUCUCAGUGCUGAGGUGGUUGGCUCUGCUCCACCCUUUAUGCUUUCAUGUUGUUUGGGGGGUGGGGGUAUGGGCACAUCAGGACAUCCAGAGUAAUACUAGAUCUCAGCCAAAGGAAAAAAAGUUGAGCUAGAACUCUAGCUGUGAUACUUCUCAACAAUAUUCUGAUUUCUCAGGACCUUAGCUUACCUCCAUAUCCCCACAUCAGUAUCACCUAUGAAAGUCUGUGUACAACAGGGGUAUCAAACUCAUUUUGUGGCAAAGUCGUGGAUUGGGGGAGAGGUUACUCCUAAGAAAGAAAAUCUUAAAUUAUGUUUAGGUAAGAUGCGAGUUCCUAAUCAGUGGAAGUAAUAACUUAGUUCAUAGUUACAUAUGUUAAACACAUUGACUUAUACAAAGAAACCACACAUUUUAGAUGUAGAAAUAAUUUUACUUGAUCACAAGCCUCAAAUUAACAUUAAAUAUACUAAAUUGAUUACAAGGUAGAUUUAACAAAAAUUUCAAAAGAAGUAUAAAUAGGCUGCAUGUGGGAGAGGAUUGUUAUAUUAGAUAUUUUAUUUCAUGUAACCAGUCAACUUUAAUACUCUGACAUUUUCAGAGUCUGAAAUGUUUAGUGGUAUGUAGCCCAAUUUUGGAUGUCCGGUUGCUAUGACAAGUUACUCAGCAAUUAACAACUCUGAGCAGAUUUUUUUUUUUAAAGGUGCCUCAAUUGCAAGCACUUUGUGAUUGAGGGGACAAUUCAAAAAGACCAACACUAAACUUAGUUCAGAUAAACAUUUUAGACUGGUUCAAUAAAAAGUAAUUUAACAAAUCUAAUUUUCCAGAUGCAUUUACCCCAUACAUAUCAGAGAACAAGAGAUAAGCCAGUGUCCAGGCACAGAAUACAAUUUCAAUUUAAAUACUAAUGAUGAUACUUGAUUGAUCUUAAAACAAUUACAUUUACAGUUAGAGGAAAAUGUAAGUUCUUAUAUCACUUUUAAACAAAAAUCAGAAACUGCAUGUAGCAGCAGAAAUUUAAACCACGUAGUAAGUUAGAGAAAAAAUAAACAUGAUAAAAGUGAAUAAAUCAUUCGCUUGGAGGUCUACAAUCAGAAAACAUUAACACAUAAUAGUGGUUAUUCAAAAUAUAAAAUAUAGUCUAAUUUAAAAUACUUUAAUACUGGUUUUGUAUAAACCACAACUUUGUGUGGAAACAUUAUCUGUAGGGAAAAAAAAAACCUCAACAGUUAUCAUUUGGGUUCUGAACAAGUUGUGAUUUGAAGCCUUUAACUACAAUCACUGCUUUGUGAAUACAUAGGAAAUUUAUACAUUUUAAUCUCAUUUUAAAAAAUCAUUUAAAAAAAUCUUAAACAGCACAGCUAAUUAAAACUGAAGUUUUAAAAGACCCUACUUUUUCAUUAUUUAAGCUGUUUGUUUUAUUUUGACUGAUCAAGCUGAGAAAAAGUUAAUAUUUAUUUUUUACACUGAAGCAACACUGUAAUGUUUGUGUUCCAACUUUGCAGGAGAAUGUUAAUUAACUUAGCUCAUUGGAAUUUGAUUUCUUUUUCAUGUAAACGAUGGAUGUAUUUUUUUUUUAAUAAAAGGACGACAAACUUUUAUAAAUGCUGUAUUUGGAGUCAAAUGGUAUCUGAUCAUGACCUUUUAAAGGUAGAGAAAUUUCAAAAAAAGGACAGUCAACCUGUUUAGGUCCCCAAAACGAUGUUCCUUAUUAGCUGUUUAUAUAAUUAUACAACCUUUUGCUUGAAUUCUCGAGAGAUCACUCCAUCUUCCUAUGAAGCACAUAGGCCUUCCCUUGAGGAAGGUAUAUUUGGUGGCCUACAUGGCUUAGGUAUG